This is a long non-coding RNA of Astatotilapia calliptera (eastern happy), 1453 nucleotides long. The record is from Ensembl. Lineage: Eukaryota; Metazoa; Chordata; Actinopteri; Cichliformes; Cichlidae.
AUAGUUCAUCUAGUGGACCAACACUGCAGGAAAGAAUCUCAUAACUAUUUUGAUUAUGGCUACUGUGUGUUUGUUUUAUUAUCUGAACAAAUCAUUGAGUUCCUUUAAUUGUCAUGUCACUGUUUGUUAAUCAGUUACUUUAUUGUAGAAGAAAAUGAAUGGGGGGAAAUGAAAACUAAAUAUGAAAGAAUUCCAUGUGAAUGCAAAAAAGAAUCCCACCACUUAAAAAGGCAUUAAUCCCUAUACAUUUUUAAGCUUUAAUGUAUCUUGUUUGAAGUACGAAAUUUAAGCAAAGAAAAUUUAACCCAUGAACUGAUGUUCAUGAUGUCCAGUUAGUUUGGACGGUUAUUGCCCAUCCAAACAUUUGCCAUACCUCCUGCACAGAUGAGGUAUGGCAAAUGGUAUGAAUACAAAAAACAAAACAAAAAAACCCACCAAAAAAAACCAAAAAAAAAAACACGUGGACACUGCUAACAUAAUGGACAGGUUUUUGACGGGGCUCCCACAUAAACUCAAAGCAGAAGAUAAAGCAUCGACGAAUAUGUUUCCAAACCAGCUUCCUUCCAAGCCAAAUACUAGAAAUAGGAUGAAGCAUAUCUUUCUAUUGGCUUCGCCUGCACAAGUGCAAAGGUAGGUCUCCCCGGCAGAAUUAGUUUCCCCUGCAUCGGGAGCACACACUGGGCUGUCCAAAUCCUGACAAACAGUAUCCCACAUUCUGGAUUUUUAGUUCACAAACACUUCUUACUUCUUGACUAACUUAGGCUGACCAGCCAUCCUCUUUUCCCCGGACAUGUCCUCUUUUUACAUUCUGUCCGGGGCGUCUGUGGGGAUUUUCGAGAUUGAUAAAAAUGUCUGGGUUUUCCUAUAGGCCUACAGAGGACCCAUGUGUUUGACGUCAUCCCCGAGCUGCUGCUUUGUUGCUUGUUCUGCACUCACAGAUGGGACAGACAGCGUGCAGCAAUACGCCUAAUGAUGUUUAAAAGAUCCCAAAGCGCAACUGCAUCUUUUCAGAUGAACUGCAAAAUAAAUUUCUCUCGUGCUGACACAGUGCUGGUAAUUUUUCUUAUGCAGAUGAGGCAUUAUUUCUGUACUAUUAUUAAUUCCAGAGGCUUUUAUGUUAUUUUUUUUUUUUUGCACUUGUUGACUUGUAAAAGCCUAUAUGACACUUUUUAUUUCACAAUUCAUUAACUUAAACCAAAAGCUUAAAUAAAUUUUACAUGACUGUGUGGUACAAUAUUUGGCUGUAUUCCCAGUAUAUAUACUGUACAACUGCUGACCAACUAAUUAACUUUCAACUUUCUCUUACGCUUUGCUCAGGUGGCCUCAGUAAUUCACAUGAUGUCUUAAUGAGGUUUCCCACAUUGGCCCCCGUAAAGAUGUUAAAUGGACUAGUUCCUUUAUAAUGCUUUGUAACUCUGCCUAAGCGCUCAAAUCUAUGUCCACUUUUUUCUAU